RNAcentral lists this unclassified non-coding RNA (326 nucleotides) under soil metagenome. RNAcentral describes it as "partial contains 5.8S ribosomal RNA, internal transcribed spacer 2, and large subunit ribosomal RNA". The stretch from base 1 to 120 matches the Rfam family "5.8S ribosomal RNA", at positions 35 to 154 of the family's 154-position model. The record is from RNAcentral.
GAUGAAGAACGUAGCGAAAUGCGAUAAGUAAUGUGAAUUGCAGAAUUCAGUGAAUCAUCGAAUCUUUGAACGCUCAUUGCGACCCUUGGUAUUCCGAGGGGCAUGCCUGUUCGAGCGUCAUAUUAACCACUCCCGCUUGCGGGGUCUUGGGCUUCGCCUCCGGGCGGGCCUUAAAAUCAGUGGCGGUGCCGUCGGGCUCUACGCGUAGUAAAUUUUCUCGCGAUAGGGUCCCGGUGGAUGCUUGCCAACAACCCCCAACUUCUUAAGGUUGACCUCGGAUCAGGUAGGGAUACCCGCUGAACUUAAGCAUAUCAAUAAGCGGAGGA